UACAUUUGCACCUCGUUACAUAAUAAUCAUUAAAUAAUAUUGGCAUG
Molecule: non-coding RNA, 47 nt
Filed under: unclassified sequences
Description: S15-Flavobacteria ribosomal protein leader
Rfam family: S15-Flavobacteria ribosomal protein leader
Source: RNAcentral